GGCCGCGGGAAUUCGAUUCAGGCCUAACACAUGCAAGUCGGACGGGAUCCAUAUUGAAGCUUGCUUUAAUAUGGUGAGAGUGGCGCACGGGUGCGUAACGCGUGAGCAACCUGCCCAUAUCAGGGGUAUAGCCCGGAGAAAUCCGGAUUAAGACCGCAUAAGACUACCACUUGGCAUCAAGCGAUAGUUAAAUAUUUAUAGGAUAUGGAUGGGCUCGCGUGACAUUAGCUAGUUGGCGGGGUAACGGCCCACCAAGGCUACGAUGUCUAGGGGCUCUGAGAGGAGAAUCCCCCACACUGGUACUGAGACACGGACCAGACUCCUACGGGAGGCAGCAGUAAGGAAUAUUGGUCAAUGGAGGGAACUCUGAACGAGCCAUGCCGCGUGCAGGACGACUGCCCUAUGGGUUAAAGGUGCUUUUGUACGGGAACAAAUGCGAGUACGUGUACUUGUUGAGUGUAC
This 462-nucleotide ribosomal RNA is filed under the name uncultured bacterium. RNAcentral describes it as "bacterial SSU rRNA". It matches the Rfam family "Bacterial small subunit ribosomal RNA", at positions 39 to 478 of the family's 1533-position model. The record is from RNAcentral.